Molecule: non-coding RNA, 47 nt
Filed under: Alexandrium minutum
Lineage: Eukaryota; Dinophyceae; Gonyaulacales; Pyrocystaceae
Source: RNAcentral
UUUUUUUUUUUUUUUUUUUUUUUUUUUUUUUUUUUUUUUUUUCAUUC